AAGGAAUAUUGGUCAAUGGACGCAAGUCUGAACCAGCCAUGCCGCGUGGAGGAUGAAGGUCCUCUGGAUUGUAAACUUCUUUUAUCUGGGACGAAACACUUCUUUUCUAAGAGGCCUGACGGUACCAGAUGAAUAAGCACCGGCUAACUCCGUGCCAGCAGCCGCGGUAAUACGGAGGGUGCAAGCGUUAUCCGGAUUCACUGGGUUUAAAGGGUGCGUAGGUGGGUAUGUAAGUCAGUGGUGAAAUCCCCGAGCUUAACUUGGGAACGGACACUGAUACUAUAUAUCUUGAAUACCGUAGAGGUAAGCCGAAUAUGUCAGGUAGCGGUAAAAUGCUUAGAGAUGACAUGGAACACCAAUUGCGAAGGCAGCUUACUAUGCGGUGAUUGACACUGAGGCACGAAAGCGUGGGU
This 413-nucleotide ribosomal RNA is filed under the name uncultured bacterium. RNAcentral's name for it is "bacterial SSU rRNA". It matches the Rfam family "Bacterial small subunit ribosomal RNA", at positions 356 to 766 of the family's 1533-position model. The record is from RNAcentral.